Molecule: long non-coding RNA, 1983 nt
Organism: Oreochromis aureus
Lineage: Eukaryota; Metazoa; Chordata; Actinopteri; Cichliformes; Cichlidae
Source: Ensembl
GUCAGCAUUUUGUCAUAUUUGAAAAUUUAAAUCUAAAUUAUUCUGUUUCUUAAUGUAUUUUCUUUAAAAUACACUGUGUGUGUGUGUGUGUGUGUGUGUGUGUGUGUGUGUGACUGAGAGAGAGAGAGAGGAGUGAGUUAAGGUGAUGUAGGGAGUGAUUUAUGUGUAUAGAUGUUUUUGUUACAGUUUUACCCUACCAUGACCGUCCCCUUCUUUUGCCCUACUAUUAUUCCGAUUUCAGUUUAUUUCCCACAGUGUUUUUAAACUGUUGCCUUAUGAUUCCAAGCGCUGUCACUAAUCUUUGCAUUUCAUUAUUAUCUAAUAACACUUGUUUAAUCAGCUACCAUCUCUCUUAUGGAAUUUUUAAUGUCUGCAGCCUCAGAUCAGCACAGCCCCGCCCUCCAGCUCUAUCAGCAGCAACAUUGUUCCCAUCAGGUGAAACAAAGUAUGUUUGCUCUACAUUGUCCCCGCCUGAUGACAGUGAUAUAGUUUGAUGUGAUUCCAUAUUAGAUUCUUGAUGAAUGUGUGUUGUUGUUGUUCAGCCUGGUUCUAUGUGCCCCUUUUUAACUUUGAGCACCCGCCCUGUCACAGCCCUUUCCUUUGUUUGACUUAAUCACGUGAAAAAUAAAAAGUCCAAGAGUGUACAACACACUGCUUCCUCUUUUUUUCUUCCUUUUUUCUAGCAAAUCAGCAUCCUUUGCUGUAAACAGUUCUAUAACAGCUUUUAGCGGCACAAGACAAAAUGCUGACAGACCCAUGUGGUUCCAUGUGCUUGUAGGUACUCAGACUAAUGCAGCAAACAGCUGAGGUGUGAAAGGUGUUGUACUGAUACUGUACUGAUGUAGUGAUGAAAACUGCAGAGCAUCUUGUUUCCCUGAGAUGACACCUUGUGUAAGCUCUCACAGGGCGUAACCCUGCUGUCUAAUCUAGAGCAGUGGAGGCGUGUUCUUUAUAGAGACGAAUCACACUUCUCCAUCUGCCAAUCCGACGGAUGAGUCUGGAUUCGGUGGCUCCACACUGGGUGAGACCUCCAGAAAUUAAGAAUUCCACAAUUUUAACAGAAACUCACCUUCUGCAACAUCACUUCAAACUCUCUGCAUGAAGAUGUUGAUGAGGAUUUGCUCAAACCACAUCUGUAUCGAGGCCACAGGCCUGGGAGCUUGAGGGUCCUGCACAGUAUCUUAACUGUUCCUAUGACUGCGCUCUUCUGGACAGAGAUCUCCGAUGUUGUUCCCGGGAUCUGCUGGAGCCACUCACCUAGUUUGGGAGUCACUGCACCGAGUGCUCCAGUUACCACUGGGACCAUUCUUACCUUCACAUCUUAGUCGGAACUGAGGGGAUCGAACUACCAGAAGGCAACAUUGCAGACAUAGAAGACAGCUACAAGUACCUGGGGAUCCCACAGGCAAAUGGGAACCAUGAAGAGGCCGCUAGAAAAGCUGCAACCACCUCAAGCAAGUCCUGAGGAGUCAGCUGACCGGUAAGAAAAAGAUCCUACGCCCUGCCCGUGAUCAGGUACCAUAAAAGGACAAAGGAGGAGAUAGAAGCCACUGGCAUCAAGACCAGGAAGCUCCUGACCAUGCAUAUAGGGUUUCACCCCAAGUCCAGCACCCUGAGGCUAAGAGGAUGGAAGGUGGUCACAAGGUGGUGAGCGUCAGCACCACAGUCACAAUCUAUAUAUUGUCUCCUCCUUCACCCAGCAGAAGGUUACAAAAAAUUAUUACCAAUACUCCUCCAUCAACCAGGCUGACAUCUUUGGUGUUCAGUCUAACCUAUAAAUAUGUUGGUGAUAUGGAUCAGCUGGCAUGGUUCUGGGUCUUUGACUCAGUUGUGUGCUGUUGGACUUUUAAGUUCAUGUUGUGUAUUUACUUGAUGUUUGCUGCGUUUUCCUUCUCAAUCUUUCCUCCGAGCUUAGUUUAGUUACAUGUCUGUUUCCAUAUUUAGUUCUUUCACUUCCCUUAUCACCUCUGUAAGUUUGCAUCU